GUAGGUGAACCUGCGGAAGGAUCAUUACAGUGUUCGCUGCCCUCUGGGUAGCAAACCUCACCCUUUGCGUAUUAUAUAUUUGUUGCUUUGGCACGCCGCCUUCGGGCACCGGCUCCGGCUGGCUCGCGCGUGUCAGAGGACCUCAAACUCUGAAUGUUAGUGUCGUCUGAGUACUAUCUAAUAGUUAAAACUUUCAACAACGGAUCUCUUGGUUCUGGCAUCGAUGAAGAACGCAGCAUCUGACUGACUG
RNAcentral lists this unclassified non-coding RNA (250 nucleotides) under plant metagenome. RNAcentral's name for it is "partial contains small subunit ribosomal RNA, internal transcribed spacer 1, and 5.8S ribosomal RNA". The stretch from base 189 to 250 matches the Rfam family "5.8S ribosomal RNA", at positions 1 to 55 of the family's 154-position model. The record is from RNAcentral.